AGCAGCCGCGGUAAUUCCAGCUCCAAUAGCGUAUAUUAAAGUUGUUGCAGUUAAAAAGCUCGUAGUUGAAUUUCGGGAUUAAUAUGUUGGUCGUGCCUUGGUACGUACUGGCAUUAUUGAUUCCUACCUUCUGAAGAACCUCGAUGUCAUUAAUUUGGUGUCUUGGGGGAAAUCAGGACCGUUACUUUGAAAAAAUUAGAGUGUUUAAAGCAGGCUCGCGCUUGAAUACAUUAGCAUGGAAUAAUGAAAUAGGACGUUUGAUUCUAUUUUGUUGGUUUCUAGGAUCGACGUAAUGAUUAAUAGGGAUAGUUGGGGGCAUUAGUAUUCAAUUGUCAGAGGUGAAAUUCUUAGAUUUAUUGAAGACUGACUACUGCGAAAGCAUUUUGCCAAGGAUGUUUUCAUUAAUCAAGAACGAAAGUUAGGGGAUCGAAGACGAUCAGAUACCGUCGUAGUCUUAACCAUAAACUAUGCCGACUAGGGAUCGGAUGAUGUUAAUUUUUUCAAUGACUCAUUCGGCGCC
This 520-nucleotide unclassified non-coding RNA is filed under the name uncultured Glomus. RNAcentral describes it as "SSU rRNA". It matches the Rfam family "Eukaryotic small subunit ribosomal RNA", at positions 569 to 1087 of the family's 1831-position model. The record is from RNAcentral. Lineage: Eukaryota; Fungi; Glomeromycota; Glomeromycetes; Glomerales; Glomeraceae.